Molecule: ribosomal RNA, 368 nt
Filed under: uncultured organism
Description: bacterial SSU rRNA
Rfam family: Bacterial small subunit ribosomal RNA
Source: RNAcentral
CGGAGGGUGCAAGCGUUAUCCGGAUUCACUGGGUUUAAAGGGUGCGUAGGCGGGCAGGUAAGUCAGUGGUGAAAUCCUAGAGCUUAACUCUAGAACUGCCAUUGAUACUAUCUGUCUUGAAUAUUGUGGAGGUAAGCGGAAUAUGUCAUGUAGCGGCGAAAUGCUUAGAUAUGACAUAGAACACCUAUUGCGAAGGCAGCUUACUACGCAUAUAUUGACGCUGAGGCACGAAAGCGUGGGGAUCAGACAGGAUUAGAUACCCUGGUAGUCCACGCCCUAAACGAUGAUUACUCGACAUUUGAGAUACACUUUAAGUGUCUGAGCGAAAGCAUCAAGUAAUCCACCUGGGAAGUACGACCGCAAGGUUG